UAGCACUUGCUUAAUUGAUUUGACACACC
RNAcentral lists this non-coding RNA (29 nucleotides) under Homo sapiens (human). Lineage: Eukaryota; Metazoa; Chordata; Mammalia; Primates; Hominidae. The record is from RNAcentral.